UACUACCAUGUGAAUUUUAGGGCACUGC
This 28-nucleotide non-coding RNA is filed under the name Homo sapiens (human). Lineage: Eukaryota; Metazoa; Chordata; Mammalia; Primates; Hominidae. The record is from RNAcentral.